GGUUUGAUCAUGGCUCAGGACGAACGCUGGCGGUGUGCCUAAUACAUGCAAGUCGUACGCACUGGCCCAACUGGUUGAUGGUGCUUGCACCUGAUUGACGAUGGAUCACCAGUGAGUGGCGGACGGGUGAGUAACACGUAGGUAACCUGCCCCGGAGCGGGGGAUAACAUUUGGAAACAGAUGCUAAUACCGCAUAACAACAAAAGCCACAUGGUCUUUUGUUUAGAAAGUAUGGCUUUGGCUAUCACUCUGGGAUGGACCUGCGGUGC
This 269-nucleotide ribosomal RNA is filed under the name uncultured bacterium. RNAcentral describes it as "partial 16S ribosomal RNA". It matches the Rfam family "Bacterial small subunit ribosomal RNA", at positions 10 to 239 of the family's 1533-position model. The record is from RNAcentral.